AAGGACAGCAGCAGCCACGGUAACACAGAGGGUGCGAGCGUUAAUCGGAUUUACUGGGCGUAAAGCGUGCGUAGGCGGCUUUUUAAGUCGGAUGUGAAAUCCCUGAGCUUAACUUAGGAAUUGCAUUCGAUACUGGGAAGCUAGAGUAUGGGAGAGGAUGGUAGAAUUCCAGGUGUAGCGGUGAAAUGCGUAGAGAUCUGGAGGAAUACCGAUGGCGAAGGCAGCCAUCUGGCCUAAUACUGACGCUGAGGUACGAAAGCAUGGGGAGCAAACAGGAUUAGAUACCCCCGUAGUCCCUGUCUCUUAUAC
This 309-nucleotide ribosomal RNA is filed under the name uncultured bacterium. Its description in RNAcentral is "partial 16S ribosomal RNA". It matches the Rfam family "Bacterial small subunit ribosomal RNA", at positions 503 to 807 of the family's 1533-position model. The record is from RNAcentral.